AGGAAUUUUUAGAAAAAUCAUGUUUUUGUAAAGCAUGCAUUAUUUUCUGACAGCAUGAUUUAAGGAGGUAUAGUAAUUACUUUGUAUGUAUGUAUGUCACUGACAUUUUAAAAGUUUACCUGUUGCUAUAGCAGAAGAGAUAAGUAGCAUAGUAAUAAUCUCAUAUUUCAUUGAAGAAGUAAACAUUUAAAAGCCUAUGGAGGAUGGAUGACAUAGUUACAGAUAUAGCUGUAACACAGUUCAGAGGGUCAUUUCAUAUUUCUAACUACACCUUUAAAACAACCUGAGUAGGUAUUUAAUAUUAGGACUGGUGUUUUGGGGGGCGAACAAAAUCUGAGAAAUGUAUUGAAGUGUUAAGGCACUCAAAAUGCAAAGUGCCAGGAGGGCCCUGAUAGCUACUCAAGUUGUUGAGGGCUGAACAUGCUGCAUCUUUUUACUCCUCACCAUCAGUGUCCCUGAGGCUUUGUUCUGACCAGAAUUAUAAAAAUACCUUUCCCCUUACCCGCUCUUCCCAGUAGGGAUAACUGCUGCACAGGGGUCUCGGCUACAUUUGAGAAGUUCCCUAAAUAAUUUACAAAGUAGGAAGAAAAAAGGAGAUGAUACCAUGUGGACCAGCUAUUGCAGUGUUUAAAUGUAUCACAGGCAACCGUGACCCCCAGCCCUUCCUCACAAGGGCCCGGGACGUCUCCCUCCAGGCUGAGGGCCUCUCUGCAAUGCCGUGGCCAUGUUGCAGAAGGCAGGUACAGAAGGGACUGACUCCUGGCCCUUGGUUCAAGUGCUGUCUGUAGAUCUGUUGCCAGGCCCUUGUAUGUGCCAGCAAUUAGAUUAGUAUCCACCUAGCAGGAAAUUUUUGUUGUAGCACAACCCCUCACCAGAGUACUCAAGCUUAUUAGACCAGGUAGUAUAAAGGGAGUGGAGGCAUUUGCAAGAAGGAGACUGGCUUGUCAAAAAGAGGGAGAAUUCGCUUAUCAAAAUAAAGUUUCAUUGAGCAAAGGAGUUGUAGGUCUGUUUGGAUGUGACAUGAGUUUAAAGACAGGAAAUUCUGUCAGGUUGGCUUCUUACACAAAGUGAUUUUGCAGGUAACUCCUCUGGCAACCUGGUUCUUAGUUACCCCUGCAGACUCUGGCAAGUUUUCUGCUCUUGAUGUAUUUAAAAAAAAAAAAAAAAAUUAGCAAUAGUUUGGAUAAUUUUUGUGAUUUGUUCUUCAAAGUCCUUCUUUUUGGCCACCCAUACUGCAUUCUUACAUUUAAUCUGCCAGAGUUUAUGAUCCUUUCUAUUUAUUCCCUUUGGACAGGCCUUCAGCUUUUUUGAACCUCUUUCUAAUGCCUUUCCUUGCUCUGUUGCCUAAUAAAGCUGGCUACCUUUCGCCCUUUCUUCAAGUCUUUCUGAAAAGGAGGUAUGUACUGGCACUAUGCUACUGACAAGACAUCCCUCAGCAACCUUCAUCUGGCUUGUAUUAACUUAAUUCUCAUAGCUGCCCCUUUUAAUUCCUUUUAAAAUGCUUCCUCAUUUUUAUACAGUUCCCCUUUCUGCUGCUGAGCACAUCCAUAAUGGAUAUUUGGCCUCUGUAAAUACUGUGCACUGCUCAGGUCCAACUCAAGGGCUGCAUCUUCUCUUAUGAUCUUCCCCAUGAAAUGGAAGUAUCUAAAAAUUCAGCCCCUGUCUUACAUCCCACUAUGAUCUUAGCCCAAGUUACAUGGAGAUAACUGAAGGCUCUAUGGAAUUUCUGGCCUUUGCAGCCUCUGUGAACUCCCUCAACGUGUCAGAGCAGCACGGUCACAGUGCCAGGGUGGGCAGCGGCCAGUCUUAAGAUGCAGCCUUACCUGCAGAACCAUAUUAAAAUAAUAGAAAACCAUCACAUCUGAUCUCCCUUGGGCUUGGGAUUUCCUUCCAUGUGGGUGCUCUGCUGCUCAGCGUGGUGGUUGGUUUGUUGUUGCAGUUCGAGCCAAGAAGCAGGGCUGCACUCUCAGCAGUCUGUGCUGCCUGUGCCAGGGGAGGGAACAGAGACAAGUGACAUGUCAUUGCCGACAGAUAUGUGGCAACGUACACAUCUUCCAGGUUCAACACUCAUGCGCGCUGAAAGUCCGGCCUGAGCAAUAACUUCAUGCAGCUGAGCUUCAAGGGGAAAAAGAGAACAGAAGUGGUCCUCUACAUAAGCAGCAUUUUCUAUAUUACUUGUUAAAAAGGGGAACUCAGGGUAAAGACUGGAGCAGAGGCUUUUAUUCUGAUAAAGGGAUCUAGAUAGCCUACAUUUAGUAAAUGGUAUUGAGCAAAUGCAUCAGAAAUUGUAGGCAAGAUGACUAAGAAAUCUGUUUGUCCUGGCACGCGUGAGGUCACCGUUUGUGCACUGCAAACAAGGAAACACUAGACAAAUAGGAGCAUGUCUUAUAAUCACAGUGAAACAUUUUGGACUAGAAAAGCUUUCUUGAAGGACAGAUUGGUUAAAUGGCUGAUAUUUUUCAGAAAAUCAGGCACAAACUCUUCUUACAGGCACAACUGCAAUUCAGAGGGCAGCAGGAAUAAUACAGGUGUAGGAAAGUCAGUUCAACUUGUUAUCAGCCAAUGAAGGCAAAAUGAAAUAAAUGACCUUUGCCAUAUUUUUACAGUUUCCCUGAAGCAUGGGACCAGAUUAUGGAGUGAUGGGAAGGGUGUAAUUCCUACCAGAAAGAGUGACUGUGCAUUUAUAUGUUUUACAAACACGUGGCCAACUAAUGGCACACCCAAAUCCACUUCUGCUUCUGCCUCCUUUACCUAAUGAUAGAAGGAUGUCUUAAGAUGCAGCCUAAGCUGCAGACCCAUAUUAAAAUAAUAGAAAACCAUGAUGGCUGAUCCGUCUUCUCCCUAUAAUUUCAAACCCUGAAGGAUCAAUAUCAAAAGCCCAAACCCAAGCUCUUCAUGUGUACCCAUCAUGUGUGUGACAAGUUUGUCUGGAAAUGUGCCAGGACAUCUCUGAUGUAGUGAAGGGACUUUACCCACAAUUUCCAACUAAUCUAGAAGAGCUUUUGUGUAGUGGUGACUUUGGGUGUAUUUGUAUAAACACAGGGAAGAGAGCAAAACAUAACAGUGGAGACCAGUGCAGUGUUUACUUGAGAGGCUAGUUUUGAGGGCAGCUGAUCAGGUGGUAGAAUGGCACACAAAAAAUGUAAAUUAAAGUACAGGUACCACUUGCUUAAGUAUCUGCCUCAGCAGCAAAAUAGUCCCAUUUUAUAGUGUUUUCAAACCUGUGUGAGGGAACGUCAGCAUCUUACCUCAUUCCUGUGGAGCUGCCACUGCAGGAGGAGCUGUCAAGUGCCCUCUCUGAAGGGGUAGAUCCACAGGGAUUCUUUUGCUCAGUAAAUCUGAAAUCUGAAUCUAAAUUUCAUAGUUGCAAAUGGAAUGAAAAACCAUUCAAGUCAAGCUUAAUAUUUUCCUUGACCCCGGGGGUUUCCUAUCACUUCUAAGCAUUCUUCAAAACCUCAUGAGUUUCCACGUGAAACUAGGAAGGAUGCCCCGUGGCGCUGCUGCGAUGUGACAAGAUGGCCAGGCUCCAGCUUUUGGAUUAACAAAUUUAGCAAACAAAGAAUAAGUCAAAAGACAAACAACCUGACCUGCAGCAAGUCAACAUUUGUAGUGGCAACAUCUGGCUGAGGUAACUGCUACUGUUUAACUGACUCCUAUGCAUUAUCUUCUUCCUCACUUGAAGAAAGAAGCUGUGUAGAUGACAAGACCCAGGCAGCUUCAGUGUGCAAUAAGUGGCAAAGGGAGCAAGCACGGCCAUCCAGAGUGCUUCCUCCUGGUGAGAGCUCUCCCAGUCCUACAAGACCAGUACAAAGUUUCAUUUACCUUUCUGGUGAUGUUCUCCUGACUUCGGUGGAGUCUUUCACCGGGCAGCAGUAAACAUGCUUCUUCAGUAGUAGCUAUAUGGUUAACUAAUUCCCUCCAAGGCUGGAAUAUGCAGGGCACCAGCUGAACCAGCAUGGGAAGGCUCACGGCAUGGGGAAGGGUUGAGUGGAAAUGAUAAGUUUAUGGAUGCUUGUUCAGGAAAUAUCAAUAACUGGUGACAGCUUGAUACUGACUUUGAAAACAGUGAGAAAGUGUUUAAAAACCUGGAUGGGGUUUUACUCACAUGGCUGGUCUUAGUCAAGGAUUCCAAGAAGCGAAAGCACAGGGUCAAGUAGCAUCUCGACCCCACUUUAUCUCCUGGACAGUGACAAAUGGCAGGCUGGAAGGAAAAUCACUUCAGACACGUGCAGACUUUUCCACGGCUAAUCUGAAAUUCUACAUUUACCUGGUUUUGAAGAAUGUGGAAUGAAGAUGGUGUAGAGAAUAAUAAUGUAUGCUUCAGUGACUUUCCCAUAACACAGCAAUAACAAAUAGGUAAUAAAAGUGUCACGGACAUUGACAAAAUACAGACUAUCCUGUUCCUUUGUUGUGUUUUUGUCCCUAAAUAUAACUCAAUAUUGUGGCCAUGAUCUUUACUUAAUGGUGACCUUCAAGCUUAAAAACAAAUUGGACUUGUGGCUAUAUAUAUACACAUGCACGCACACACAUAAAGGAACUCUCUGACAGAGAAAACCUAGCAGAAGUAAAAAUCCAUUUUUCCCACAGGCUUUCUUGUUCAGCAAUAAUAAGAAUAAAAAUAUCAAACAUUUUGGCUUUACUGAGACAUUUCUGGGAAGUGUCAGAAAUACCGUUUUCCUAGCUUCUUCCUGAAGGAGCUAGGGAAUCACAUCUUUACUCUUAAAUGUUUCCCCAAAUAUUUGUGGUGUUUGUUCUCAGUUACUGCUUUUUUUUUUUUUUUUUCAAUGUAAACCAUUGUAUAUAGCCUGAAUUAAGCAGCCCAUUCUUUUUUCAUAUUGUCUAGCUAGUUAACCUGUGGCAAAGACAGAAUUAUUAGAAUUCAGGAAUUUUUGGAUCCUCAAACUGCACCAUCUCUCUCUGGUCCUUUUAAUUCUGUUUCCUGCCCCUUGUUUUGUCCGUCCCAACCUCCUUCUCUGACAUUAAAUCAUUUAAAGAUACAAAUCAAUGAAUAGUGUUAUGGAGAAAAAAAAAAAAGUCUUUAGUGCUUUGACUAUGAAUCAUACUAAAGAAGUUUUUAUUUCAAAGGUUUGAAACAUAACAAAAACUAAAGCAAAAAAAAAUAUUUUUAGGAGGGAAAAAACAACCAGGGUUUGCCAACGGGGUGGCUCUCCUUCUUCCCACAGGAAAAAAAGAAAACCUGCAAUGAAUUUUCCAAGAUUUUUGUUUUUAAUAUGGUUUUAUACCAGGAAAAAAACUAGUGUGAUUAACUUCUAAAAAGAAAGAUAAAAAGAUUUGUUAAGGAGCCUUUUCUCUGAGGUAAACAGUGGUCAUCAGUGUAGGUGCAUUAUGAAAGGUCCUGGAAAGAUGCGCAUGGGAAGGGUUGAUAGGACUUUAGCCUCUGACUUCCUCAAGGCUGGGAUUUAACCCUGGAAGAAAGGGAAGAGAUGUGAAAACCUUCUGCUGUGUUGUGCUGCAAGUGGUUCUCAGCUCUGAUCUGGCAGAUCUUGCUUUGGGCAGAACAAGGCAAAGGUUGGAGCCAGUUCUGACAGUACUUAUGGCAGAGAUUUUAGAAUCCUGAUAGUGUUCCCUAAAAGCAGAUGCUAUUUUGAAGAGUGAAGCACUCUAAGCUGCACAAGUGAGCAAGUGAAUAAAUGACAGAAAAAGGAAACUCCAUAUAGGAGGCUCCAUAAGGAGAUUUUCCUCUGACAGGAAUCAAGCCUGAUGAUAGCAGCAUUUUCAGAUAUUGCUCUGAGAUGUCAGUGAAACCCCUCAGACAACUGCUUGGCAUCUCUGCUGGAACCUCAUGGUGACCGGUAGGCCCAGCCCUUCUGCACUUUCUUUCCAGAGGCUUAAUUAACUCCAGCUGGAUUUGUUAGAAUCCUGAGGAUCUUCUCCAGAGGAGCAACCUCUUGAAGCACAAAAACUCUUAAAAACACCUGGAGUUUCUGACAGCUGUAUCAUUAUCUCACCUUUUUUGCAAAGUCAGGAGUAAAAGAGGAACCUUUUGUGCUGUAUGUGUUUCUUCCAUACACCGUGCUUUUAAGUCACUUGUGCUCAAAAACUUCUGUUUACUUUCUUUGCUCUUAUCCUGUCCAUUGCAGUUACUGGGGUCUACCUCUGGCUUCAACAAGUGCACAUAUAGGUCUUAUCUGAAUGGCAAAUCACGUUUAUUUCUGUGAAGUAGCUUUUGUACUGCUGCUUCUUCCCUGAGUCCACAGAUGACCCUACUGGUUUUCUUACAGCCUUGUGGAAGGAUAGAGGCAGCAUCCUUCUUUGUGUCUGAGCCUUCAUACUCAAAGUCAUCACUUCAUUUGACUUUGCUCACACUGGUGUUAAAGUUCAACUUUUUAUUCAGAGGUCUCUCAACAGUCACUUGCAUUCAGAGACUCAAAAUAUUCUGAACAGCUAAUACUGCAGAAGCAGGGAAAGAAAAGGAAAUCUUAAAAAGAUGAACAGGGAGAAAGGUAUCUUGAAGUAAAACUUGCUGGGCUGAGGGCAGUAACCUUAGUUUUAGGAAUGGAGAACUAUACCCUGCAGCCCAGCAGAAAACCCCGUUUUUCUGUAGGUCUGAAAGGUGUCUGUCUUGUCCUUGCAGUUCAGCUCAUGAUCCAGUGAUACCAAGAGUGGAUGUUUUCUAUAAUUGUUGUGCCUGUGUUUUUUCAUGGUGCCUAGCUUAACUUUGAAAACAUAACCACAAGUGCUACUACAGGCUUAAGAGUUUUAUUGCCUGCAGGGUCAGCCAAAUGGGACUUUUCCAUGUAAGGAAACCAUCUUGAGAGGUUGUCUUUCUCAACUCCAGUCUUCAUCCAAGGCCUAGAGUUAAAGAGUUAUUUGAAGUCCUACCACAAGCACAUGCAAGUAUGAGGCAGCGUUAUCUUCAAACAGCCCCUAUCUUGAUCAUCAGCCAGAUUUUCAGGCUGCUCCCUGGAAACACAGCAGGACUAACAGUAAACAGUAGCUGUUACUUCCUAUCAGUUCUACAGUAUAUUUCAGAAGAGGUUGUAAGGCCAUGGUUCAGAGAGGUUCAUAAGUCAAGAGGAAGUUGUAAGUAAACACAUAAAGAUGCAGUCAGUCUGCUUGAAGUGCAAAGUUCACUCUAGCUGGGCUUUAGGGUCUUCUCUGUAUAGACACAACAGAGGUUCAAGUUCAGAUGAGUACUUGAGGAGGUUUCUAACAAGCUCUAAGGACUAUGGACAAGUGGGAUUAUUCAGAUCCAACAAUCUGAUUUAACUGUAUUUCUAACUCUGGUAAUAGAUUUUUUUUUGUAAAUACAAAACUUUGUGCCCACUGAACUCCAGCAUAAUUCUUUAUUUUAGAACAAUUUCCUGGACAAACAAUGUAGGUGGAAGAAAAAUUGAUAAGAAACCUCAAACUAAAUGCAAGAUUGUACUCCUUUUUCCACCAAACCACAUAAUUUAUAUAACAUCAGUUUUUAAAGGUUUGUUUCUGUAUGACUGUUCAUUCUCCAGACACAAAAAUACUUCAUGAAACAGCGUUUCAGUGUUUUUUCACACCCGAUUCAAGCCAUGAAGUGCUAGAAACCUUACAAGGCUGUUCUCUCAGAGCUCAUUCCCACUCUGGAGCAGGCAUGUAAAUGUUUGUGUAAUUCUGCAGAAUGUAUACUUUUGGGAUCUGAGUUCCCUGACAGAGGAAGUGAGUAACUUGGUUUGAGUUCAGUGGCAGUUACUCAUAUCCUGUGAGGAGACAAGUGGGAAGGGGGAAAAAAACAGAAGAGAAGAAUCCAAGAAAAGAGAUGGGGGGGGGACGUGGGAGGAAGAUGAAAUGACAAUCAGCAAACCCUCGGUGAUAAGUGGUCCUCACUUAUUCUGUCUUUGCUGGCACAACACAGAGAAAUUUGUCAUAAUCGUGAGAACACAAGUGGUAGGACAGUAAGAUGAUCCCUGAUCGUUUCCUUUGGUAUCUUUUAACACUUUAUCUUUCAGUAGCAUGUAGAAUAAUAUGAGAAUGUUAAAUACAACUUCAAGUUUGUGUUCAUAGACUCAAGUGUUACAUGCAAGAGAGGGUGUAUCUGUAUGCAUAUUUUUAUGCACAGAGCUAUAGGAGGGGAUUGGGGUUUUUAUGGAUAGAACUGCAAAACAUGCAUAGGAGUUAACUCACUGCUUCAUGCAUUACUUCAGGUUUCAACCCUGACUUGCCUAUUGCUUUAUGGAUCAAAUUCAGUAAUAACUGUGUGUAAUACUUGACAACAAGAACCUUUACUACGUGCAGAAAUGUGUCACUCAGGAGUCUAAACAACACUUGACCAGACACAUUCAGGCUUGCCCAUUCCAGAUUCAGCUACAGAAAUGCUGGAUUAUGGAAAUGGCCAACAGUCUUAGGCCACUGGUGACAACAACACAGCAGCCUGCUUUGGGGGAGCAGGAACCACCUAUGUUCCUAUAGUGCUCUAUUUACAGCUCUCUGUCCCUCCAACACAGGAGUUUCUACAGCAGAGUGAUGAAGGGGUUCAAUGCUGAGGGAAAGCUGGGUGCAUUAAAGGCAGGCUUGGAUCCAGUCUUCCCUGGCGUUUGGGGAUGCUAGGGUCCGGCAUUUUGGUUGAAGCUUGUGUCACUGCUGUUUUACUGCAUGGGCCAAUAAACUGAGCUGGCUAGAACAGCUCCAGCUGACACUAGCAUUCCCUAAAGAAGUUUCUAGCUUGGAUUCAAUUGAUUUAGUCCCUUGCUUGGAUCAUUAAUUUCUCCAGUAAGUCCGGGGCAGACAGGGAACAUGAUGAGAAGGCUGAUCCAUUGCUUCCCAGCAGAGGCAGUUCAGAACAUGCAUAACUUGGAGCAAAUGGUAUUGCACUAACACAUCAGGUUGUGCCCAUACAUAAGUGCUGAAUCAGGGCCAUAAAGAAGGCUAACUCUAAUGCACUGUACUUAAAAUGCUUCCCGAAAGGUUUUGGAAACCUCCAACAUCAACUGAGAUUGUAUUCUCAAUAGAUGAGUUCAAAUAGAUCAAGGCAGGUUUAUUUUUAUAUUGUGAAAAAGCCAGAGGUACUUUAGAAAGUUCAGCAAACUGCUAUCCUGCCAUUUAAGGAGACCAGCAAUGCUACCUGGAAAACACCAUGCCUAAAAUCACAGGAGGGUGAUUUUACACACACACAGCAUCUAUCCUGGCUGGGCGGAAGCUUCCAGAAACUUGGACCUUCACAAACAAAAAUAAAUAUUUAUAAGGGAGGGGAAAAAAAAAUUAGGAAGGGUGUGGGGAGAUAGAUGAAGAUCAAGAUUAUUUUCUUACUCAUUUCUCUCUUUCUCCAAAUCCCUCUGGCAAAGAAUCCCCUUUCCCAGACCUUGACAAUAGGCAGGAUAAAUCCCAUGGCUAACAUGUUUCUGAUCUUCUCUAGAAGUUCCUGAUUACAGAUUCUCUCUCCUCAGACAGCAGCUCAGCUUUUUUCUAGAGAAAGCACUGGUUACAUAGCAGCAUGAAGGAGUUUUGAGCAGCAGAGCCAAUUGCGAGGCUGAUGGGUUUUGGGAGGACAGCUGUGCCAGGCCCUUGAGACCAGAGAGCCUUGAGGGAGCACAGGGAGGUGACAGGGGUGAGGGUGCCACUGGAGACUGGCAGACACAGACAGCACCUGUCAGACACCCACAGGCUGGUGGUAGAAAUAUAUUGAAGCCAGGCAAAAAGGGGAUGUAAAGAAAAGCUUUGCAGAGUAGAUGUCAGAAAGCCCAGGUUGAGGGGCAGCAUUCAUGGGUCUCUCCGCUGAGAGAUUAAGGUGGUGAAUCCAGCUGCCUCAACUUAAAUUUGAUUUAAAGGUAGAAGGGAUGAUGGCUCAAGGAGACAAGAUGCAGAAAGAGUAGGUUAACAAGCAAUUGAGUGAUGUCUGCAGUAUUUUAUUAUGUUUGUCAUCUAUCAGCAAGUUCCUCUUCUGCCUCUUUAUAUAUCCCAUCUUCUGACACUCAGAAUAAUUUUUCUCUAAUUACAUACUGCAGUUUAGAAUAAUCAUUUUCUUUUUCUGAGUGGUUGGAGACUAUUUAGAAAUAUUUGAGCCUCUAUUCCUCAGGACUCUGUAAAUAGACUUAACCUACCAGGGUACAGCCCCAGGAGGCGCAGGACAAGCAUGUAAUUCACUGUCCAUAAGUGAAGGGUACCAGAUUUUCCUCCAUAUAGACACCCACCCCGAUUUUUAGAUUCUUAGGUGGCAUACAAUCAACCUUAGGCAGAGACAAGUUUUUAAAGGAUGAUAUGGUCACCUUAGUACUCAAUAACAAAACAUUGCAUAUGAUGUUCAUCUUUUGUUUUCUAUUAACUGUACUUUCUUUAUUUAUUUUAAUUAGCUACCAAAUCUAGCUAGCUGUCUCUAGUGGCUUCCUGGUUAACUCUGUUACAUGAGUAUUUAGGUCAAGCCAGCCUACCAUUAAGAGAGACAAGAAGAAUUGUAUCAAUCUGAAUGUCUGUGCCUGUGGAGUGAAUCUGAGAACUCCCUGAAGUCUUUCAAAUGUGAUUAUUCAUCUCCCUGCUCAGCACCUGAAGCUAUUUUUAACAUUGAUAUGCCAAAGCUAUCUACAAGCCUAUGUGAUAAGUAAACAUAGCAGACUUGGGAAUGAUGUAAGUCUGCAAAACCCCUGUCCCACUGCCUCUCCAAAAAGACAUUAAUGAUCAAUGUUGUAAUUAGUGAGAAAUGUCUGGUCAGCUUAACCAUUAACACAGACUGAACUAUUCAACCUUCUUAAUAAAGGCAAACUUGUGGGCAGUUCUUGUGGGAUGACAUUUUCCUUGGGUGAUAUCAUUCUACAAUAAUUUCUUGAAAAUACUGUGAUGAAACAUGCAACGAGACAAGUAUUCUGGCCUUUCCAGACACCUGUGAGUCAGCCUAGACUGCUGCUUCUUCCUCCAAAUAGAGACAGUUACAGAGCAAGUUUUCUGAAAGCUGUAGCACCGACAGAGGCACUAAUACAAAGAGUAAUUAAAGCAUGCUGUUGACAUAUUCUGGUUCUCUCAACCUUACAAUCACCCAGGCUUUUUUUUUUUUUUUCCCAACCUAUUCCUUUUUCAUAAGGUUUAUUUAUUGUAUAUCUCAAUCAUUUGCAAUAUUAAGGCAUGCAAGUUUUAAAAAACGGAUUAAAUUGUUUCACUGCGUCUGAAAUAUUAUUCUGCUGUCUGUGAGCUGGUAACACUUCACUGACUGGCUGGGGAGAGGCAAGAAAAUCAGCAUCAGACAGGAAACUCUAAAAAUACAGGUUUCAUACUUCAGUCUAACAUCCAAAGCACCCUGCAGCUUCGGUCAUCCUUGUGCAUCUCUCCCCGGUGACAAAGGAACAUACCUGCCUCAUUAAACUGCUGGAUUACGUUCAGAAUGAAUGUGUCUCCUGUUGCAAGAUUCUAAGCAGAUAUUUCACUUGUUGGGACAUACAAUUCAACUGAAUGGGUUAUUCAAGAGUUUGAUUAUCAACAAGGGACUACCACAACCCCAUUUUCUUUGAAUUUAGGCUACUUACCAUCCAAUACAGAGCCCUAACUUUAGGGCUACAGACUGUUCUGGAGUGGUGACUCUUUACAUCCCUUUUCUUGAUGGAGCACUUUUACUCUGUGUAUUCAUUUGUGCAAGGACUGGAAGCUGUGUCUUUCCUUCUCCUCUUGGAUAUAUUGACUCAUACUACAGUAUGAACCACAUCUACGCGUUCUGAAUCUGUCUUUAUGGAUUACUGGCAAUUUGAGUGAUUUCAGGCAAGCUGGAACAUCUGUGAGAGAAAAACAUGGGACCUCAAGGAUGUUUUACAGUGGUGCGUAGUAUGCCCCCUGAAAACUGCAAGCAAGAGUGACCACAAACAAUUUAAACACAGUGUCUAUUAUAGACUCUUUUACUUCAAAAUGCUGUUCUUCUAGACUAAAAGACUGACCUGAACAUGUGCUCUCAAAGGACUAACCUGAAGAUUUUGAAAGAAAGGAAUCCAGCUCCUGGGGACAGCGGUCACAACAGGGAAGGGUGCCUCCCUGCAACCAAUUUUGACACACUUCUCUCCUCAGAUACGUUUACAGAGGGUUAAAACACCAGAACAAUUAAUUUCUGGCAAGAGCAACAACUGACUCUAUUGUGUCUGGUAUAGGAGUUCCUGAGUACGUCAGGAUUAUGAAUCAUAAGUAAAAGAGAGAAUUAAAAGUUCUGCAGUGCAGUGUCUCCUUGCAAGCACGCCAGUGCAGUCCUGCUCUCUCAUUUCUGGGAAAGGACGUUCCCUUGACCUCAGUGGGGUAUUGUAAUAAAUCUCUGCAAUAGACUGUUAACACCAAAGAGGUCAGGUUUUGCAUGUAGGCCAGAUCAGAUGUACCACAACAAGGACUAAACAUAGGAUGAAAAUGAAAGGGGCUGCCAGGGUGAGCAAGACCAAUUGCGUACCACCACACGGUAUUUAGUUCAGAAGCAUCCAGUCACACAACCCCAAACACUGAAACCACAGAACAGCAUCUCACACCACAAGGCUAUAGCACCAAAGACCAAGAGCUACAAAUACUAAAGUACCACAGAAAGCAAGCACAGGUGAUCAAGGGCACUGUUAAGGUACCCAUUCCUUACAGUAGGAGAAAAUUUAUUAGAUUAACUGCCUGAAUAAUCCUAAAAAAUUAUCUAGUUCCACGCCAUAAAGAGGUAAGAAAUAAUUUUAACAAUCCCCAUCACUAACACUGGGGAUGAGUUCUUCCCAAACUUAAAUUUCAGGAUCAAUCUAACCCUGAACCUGCAGUUCAGACAUCCCAGUGCAGCACCAGGGAGAGUUUUCAAAGCAAGCUGCAGCAUUCAUGUACCCCACCCAGCUAUGGCUGUGUUCACGGUUGGGUUGAAAACAACAUCACUCUUUGAAAAGCCAUAAAUCAUAACAUGACUUGCUCUGAAGACAGGUAAGUCUGGAAAAUAUAUAGUUAACUGCUGAAUUUCAGUUGCCACACCUCAGUGUCAGAUGUUAUCAACAGAAAUGAACCACAAGUUCCCUUUACAAGGUAGGCUACAACCUGUUUAUGAGGUUUAUACUUCAUUAUUUGAGAAGUUACGCUAUUGCAGCUUUGUUCUGGCAGCAAUCAAGCAUAAAGAGCUGCACAGAGUAUAAGCAUAAUCUUUCUUACUGUGGUAAAUAUUAUCACUUAAUUACCCUAAAUGAUCAGGUUCAUUUCUGAUGCUGCUCCAUAGGAUUCUUCCUGAUACAGUUUCCCUAGAAUAAAUAUUUUCCUUACAUUUUAGCCUACCAAUUUACAGUCUAUUCCAAAGCCCACCAAAUUCAGGACUUCAGAUGGGGUCAAUAUCCACCAUUACACAACAGACAAUUAAACAUGACCUAGUCCUAAGUAACGAGUAACACAGUUAAGGAAUACUGGCAUCUACAGAGGCUUAGCAAUUCUCUUAACUCAAAAACACAAGCUCAUGGUACAACUUUUGUGAAAAGAAAAUUGAUCCCUCACUCCCCAGCUACACCUGUGGUUAAAACACCACCUGUUAGCAUGCCUCACCACCUGAAUUCCUUCCCCUGUUAGAGAGGCUGGCAGGGAUUAAUUAUUUUAAUUGGUCAAUUAAGGACCAGGGGGAAAGAACCACACAGGUGAAUGUGGGUGUAUUACUCAUUCACCUGCAGCUGCUGCAAAAUACCUGCAGAGGAAGUGAGACAGGGAAGCAGUCAAACACAACUGUUCUCAGCUGAGAAAUACUAAUGCAAGGAGUAGAAUUACCCUUUGUGUGCUUGAGCACACAAAACCAGUCAGAGCUGCUCAUUCUGACUCGACAGAGGAUGUUGCUCCCCCUAAGUGCGCCAGGGGCCUCCUCCACAGCUUGCUGGAGACAGAGGCAGGAUUCCCCUUGUCCUUGGUCAGCAUCAGCAGGGGCAGGUCCUGCUCUGUGCUCCUUGUACCUCUGCCUAACACACUGAAAGUCUCAGGGCUUGUGGAGCACCUGGGAACUUCACCUCUCCUUUGCUAACAGUGACUACUAAAGCAGGGUGGUUUGAGCUUUUGGAUGCUCAAAGCAAGCUUGAAUACCUCACCCAGAUCAACUGUAGGGACGUUUUCAUAGCUGGCUCCCACUAUACAAAUUAAAACAGUGUAAUUUUAACCAGUUGCGUAAUUUUACAUUCAAACUCACUGGCUUUUGGGGAAGGAGGGCCACACUGUGCACCCUUUAGGAAUCCAGUUUAGGUGUGACUCAGCUUCUACCUUCAUGAGGCUAAAGGCACAUCCACGCUGCAGCCCCAACCCUGACUGUGACGCUGCAGGGAGAGCCACGUAGCGGGAGCCCCGUGAGAGAGGAGGAGGUACCCUACCAGGAGGCCCAGUGCUGGGUGGACAUUGUAUAUUCGCUCACUGCCCGUGAAGUCAUCUAAAGUGUUUUUUCUUCUUCACUUACAUUUCCUUUCCAUCAUUUCACACCGUGCCUCUUUGUAAAUCGCACAGUAAAUGUAGAGAGAGGCACGUGCCCCGCUUUGCGGCACCUAGGACAGGAUGCUUCCUUGGCUUUACACACACAUACUCGGUCCCGCUGAAAUAAAGGGUCUGCUUCCUCUCCAUCAACUGCCAUUUGACAACACCUAGGUGAUUCUUCUGGCUUUUUUACAGUUGAAGUUGGAUAAAUUAUUGCAUCCUCCUUGCCAGACAAGAGAAAGCUUUCUGACUGCAGCUUUUUGCAAUUUUGAAACUACCACCAAGUGAAAACCUCCUUUGCCAAAGCCCUCCUUUCAAUCCCAGGUUCAUCAAAUACGGAGUGCUCCAUGUCACAUGCAGAGGGGUUUUCCUAACUGCGGAAUCUGAAAACUGCCUGGUUUUCAAAAUUAGUACUUGUUUAUGAUGAGUGUUUGUUGACAUGAGCACUCCAAAGAAAAAGGCAGGCCAAUGGUUAACAGAACCCACCCUUUUUGUGAUACCUCUGGAAAGUAAGCUGGGAACUGUGUUUUUUUUCUUUCAGAAAGUCAUGCUUUAUUAGGUUGUGUACAAUUGUACCCUGACUGUUUUUCUCAACUGAAGGCACUAAGCAAACAGGCUGUUACAUGUUCCUAGUCAUCAUUCUGCAGACACCCAGAGAAGGCACCAGAGAGCCACCUGCAGAAGCCUCACCUCCACAAUCUUGGUGGGGUCUUGGUGCAAGAGCCUGCUUCUUUUGAGCUCUUCACUUCAAAGGUGUUACCUUUUCUAGGAAUAUGGCUUCUCUCCCUUGGAUCAUGACUUGGGAAAACAAUUACGAUUUUUCUCCAGCACCUGUGGAAAGUUAACAUGCAGUCGAUCGCUUUCCCACACAGCCACAGAAUGAAGUACCUUGUUUCCUGAAAGAGGGCUUCUAUUUCAAUCUUCUCUUUUUCAGUGGGCAAGGUGGAGAAAGGAUGUUUUGCAGACAAAUUGCACAGUCCCUACUCAGCUGCAAAUUUCCACUUCACAAAAUUAAUUAAUUUAGGCCUUCAGUGAAGUGUAUAAGGCUAAAGAGGCUAAACCCAGGACUCUGGUAAUAUUUAUGAUAAGUAAAUAUUGAGUUAUAAUAGCCAGGGGAAGAUCUGUUUGUACAGUUGUGCUAUGCUGAGUAUUAGCUAUAAAUGGACAUUCAGAAGAAACAUGGUGACAGUCUAAAGAGCUAUAAAAUAGAUCACCCUUUGUGUUCAGAGCAGGAGUUGAACGUGCUUGGCUACGCUGGUUGAGUACAGCAACAGCAAGAAUUUAAAAUUCCUGGUCUGCUUGUUUAGCUACCAUGAACAAGAAAGGUUUCCUACAAGGCUUUACAAGAAACAAAAAUAAACAUAAAACCUGCAUAUAAGUGUACACAAGCAGCGUGUAAUAAUUGUGAAGCUACACUCACUACAUUAAAACAGACAAAAACUUCCUGAAGCUCAUUUCCACUGUGGAUGCUGCUCCUUGCAAGUACAUAACACAGAGUGGCUGAGGUAUCUGAAGCAUGAAAAAACACCUUGUUUGUAAACUUUGUUUUCUAUGCGCUUUGUUGCUAGAACAUAGUCCUAUGGGUUAGAGGUAAAAAGGUCCUGUCAGUCAAGCAACAAUUUGUUCUUAAGUCAAUAAAAGUCAUUCAGACUUUCUUCCAUAGAUUUUAAGGAAAAAGCUGGAAUAAAACUUUUGCUCUAGUCUCAGGUUUGGUGUCUGAAAGUAGGGCUUUCAUUAUUCCUUAUGUAAGACUAUAUAACAAGCUAUAUAAAACACAAAUACAAUUUCUUUCUUUAGAGGAGUCUGCCUUUGUCUAACAGUGAGUCAGCAUCAUCUGACAGAUCAAUUUUCUGUAAGUGUAGGAUGUGGAUUUUGCAUAUCACGCUCUCCAAGGGCACCUGUUGGAAACUUGGGUGACUACAGCGUGGAAUUUCACACCACAUGCAAGGUCAACUCAAUGACCUCCCAGAGCAGAGACCUACAUCACAAAAUCUCAUCAAUAAGAAUGAGGCUGAUACCAGAUACCUCAAGUUUUCUGUCUUCCAGGUCUGUCUUUCUAGAAAGGGGACAACAACAUUCCUUAAUACUUUCUUUGUUCUUUCUGAAACCGUUACUGUGUUUAGUAUCCACAGGAUCAUUCAGGUCAAAAGGGACCUCAGGAGGUGUCUAGUUCAACCUCCUGCUGAACGGCGGGUCAGCUGUGAGGUCAGAUGAAGUUGCUCUGAGCUUUAUCCAGUCAAGUCUUGAAAAAUCUCCCAGGAUUUCUGGCUUCUCUGGGAACCAUGUUACAAAACUUAAUUGUCCUAACGUUAAAAAAGCUUUUCCUUGUGACCAGUCUGAACCUCUGAUGUUUCAGUUUAUACCCACCAUCUGUCAUUCUUCUGCCAGGCACCACUGUGAAGAGCCCGGCCCUGUCUUCUCCCCGUAGGUAGGGGCAGGCCGCUGUCGGGUGCCCCCAAAGCCAUCUCCUCUUGCCCCCUCAGCCUCUCAGCAGGGGGGAGGUGCUCCAGCCCGUGCCACUGUGGUGGCCUUCUGCUCAACUUGUAGUUUAUCAACAUCUUUCUGAUGUUGGGGGCCUAAAACUGUACAAAGUGUUCCAGAGGCAGUCUAACAAGCGCUAGGCAGAGGGAAGUAAUCACUUUCCUCAGGUUACUGGCUGCGCUCCCGCCAGCACAGCCCAGGAUGCUGUUGGCCUUUUUCUGCUGCCAGGGCCAGCUGCUGGCUCGCGUUCAGCUUGCUGUCUGCCAAGACCCCUAGGCCUAUUUGAGCAGGGCUGCUCCCCAGCCAGGCAGUCUCUGGCCUGUAUUGUUGCAAACUCCCAAAUUCUUUUGAUACCAACUCUGCAGGGAUGGCCAGGACACCCUUCCCGUGCCACACACGGCAGAAGCUCCCGGAUCUCCAUAGAUCAUCUGCAAUUGUAAACCAGGAUUAACUUCAUAAAGACAUGAAGAUAAAAUAUUGUUCGUGCACUUUUUCCAUUAUCUUUAAAGACAAGGGUACGAAUUCCUCCCAAUUCUUGUAUCUGAAAAUGAGAACAGCUGCUGUGAGGUGUUCCUUUCCUCUGAGCAUGGCUGUUUAUAGUAAACUAUAUGAGGCUUUGAUCAGCCACUUAUAUUUACUGAAUUGAUUGCAAUAUCUGUGCCAGUGGGCUGUAUGGAUUCUCAGCAUGAGAUGCUCCUGCUCAUUUGAAGUGGUUGAGAUUGUUUUUCAAUGGAAUUUUCCAUUAUGCUCUGUGCUGUCUUUCUUCAAAGCGCAAUUUGCUCACUGUGCAGUACUCCUUGUCCAACAUAAUAUGCAGAACCAUUUUAUAUCGUGCUCAAUACUUUUGUUUUCUUCCCAUGAUGCUUUACCUCCAUUUAUUCUCUUGUCUCAACCAGUUUCCUUUUACAGCUCUCUUGUAUGUAAACUGAUACGUUUUUAGGAGCUGUUAUGUAGUGGGUUUUUCUCCCCCAUCCUCCCUCUCUUCAGUAUUAAAAAUUUGGAGGCAGUCAAGACUUCUCAGGGAAGAUACGGUGCUUUUUUCCAAAGGCAUCUGCCUCCUACCCUCCCUUUUUUUUCUUUUGUACUGACAGUUAGGGUGCUAAAUGGUACAGACACAGUAAUCCUGCACACACUACAAUUAGUACCCCUCUAAGGGGAUCACUACCAUUACACACUGUUUUUAAACAGAGAUGUUUAAACCCCAUCAGCAGGGGCUGGACAAAUCAGCACAUCUACAAUAGAGGGGAAAAGAAUCCAUAUCCCCAAGCCCCAACUUAAAGCUCUGUCCAUUGGACAGCUGUAGCAAAUCGGUGGGUUUCCCCCUUCUCCAUGUCAGAGCCCAACAAAAGACAGACAGACAACCAUACUGAGCUGCAGACUGCAAAAGAGCAGGGAAAGAUUUACAACAGCUAGUCCAGCAACACAACAUACAAGAACUAGUGGAGUUGCGUAUCUUACAGUACUACUCACUCACCAAAACAUGACAUUAUUUCUCAAGGAAAAAAAGAGCAAUUUUGGCUCUCUUGCUUUACUGUGUUACUUCUAACUGUAUCACAAACUGCAUCUCUAUUAAAUUGGCAACAUCGGCUAAACUAGACACAGGCAACGUACUAAAAACCCAAACAUGCUUACUAGGGAGCUUAUACCUCUGGUCAAGGUUUACUUACAAGUGCGAUUAACUGUUUGUUACUGAUACACACUUUAACAUAGUGGGCUAGCAUAUUCAAAUAAACAGCAAGUAAAAAGAAAAGCUUUACAGUUAGGCAAUCUCAGGCUGCAGAAAUACAGCAGUUUUCAAGUAUGAAAAAUCAAUAUAUGAAAUGAGAAGAAUUGUACCAUCUCCCACAGCAAAAGCUUCCAUGUCUGAGGUGGUGCACAUGUUAAACUAGACCAGGGAAUCUACUAUGAAGAUCUAACCCCUUUUCCAGCAAUGUACAAAAUCUCAAAUUAAGACAUCUCAAUUAAAAAAAAAAUAAACAGCAAGCAAAGCCAAAAGAUUUCACUCUAAAUUUUCUAAGUCCACUAGUUUAAAAGGCAAACAAACAACAA
Molecule: long non-coding RNA, 18867 nt
Organism: Tyto alba (common barn owl)
Lineage: Eukaryota; Metazoa; Chordata; Aves; Strigiformes; Tytonidae
Exons: 2
Source: RefSeq, a predicted model, not a curated record